Molecule: ribosomal RNA, 262 nt
Filed under: uncultured bacterium
Lineage: Bacteria
Description: partial 16S ribosomal RNA
Rfam family: Bacterial small subunit ribosomal RNA
Source: RNAcentral
GACAGACAGUGCGAGCGUUAUUUCGGAUUGACUGGGGCGUAAAAGGGGUACGUAGGCUGCUUAAAUAACUAUGUUCGAAAAAGCUAGAGGAUAACUGUAGACAGGGACAUACCGAUUUUUAAGCUACGAGUUAAGGAGAGGAGAGAAUAACUUCUAGUGUAAGGGUAGAAUCUAUCAAUAUUAGAAGGAAAACCGAAUAGCGAAAGCAUCUCUCUAGACUUAACUGACGCUCGAGGUACGGGAGGCAUGGGGAGCAAACAGG